AACGCGAAGAACCUUACCUACCCUUGACAUCCUCGGAAGCUGAUAGAGAUAUUGGUGUGCCUUCGGGAACCGAGAGACAGGUGCUGCAUGGCUGUCGUCAGCUCGUGUCGUGAGAUGUUGGGUUAAGUCCCGUAACGAGCGCAACCCCUGUUCUUAGUUGCUACCGGGUAAAGCCGAGAACUCUAAGGAGACUGCCGGUGACAAGCCGGAGGAAGGUGGGGAUGACGUCAAGUCCUCAUGGCCCUUACGGGUAGGGCCACACACGUGCUACAAUGGGCGGUACAGAGGGAAGCGAAACCGCGAGGUGGAGCGAAUCUUUAGAAAGCCGUUCUUAGUCCGGAUUGGAGUCUGCAACUCGACUCCAUGAAGUUGGAAUCGCUAGUAAUCGCGGAUCAGAACGCCGCGGUGAAUACGUUCCCGGGCCUUGUACACACCGCACGA
This 441-nucleotide ribosomal RNA is filed under the name uncultured bacterium. RNAcentral describes it as "bacterial SSU rRNA". It matches the Rfam family "Bacterial small subunit ribosomal RNA", at positions 958 to 1397 of the family's 1533-position model. The record is from RNAcentral.